AACUUCGUUUCUUGGAUGGCAAAGUUAUCUUGCUUGUUUAGAUGGCAGGGUUUGGGUGGCUAAUUUCUGGCCUGCCCUAUCCAAGAUCAGAGUCGGGUCAUGUGGCUCAAACGAAUAGCCAUUUGGCUCCUAAAGUGGGGUGGACUGCGUAAGGCUGGUUUCACUGAGCAACGAAUAGCUCUCACUCUGUGCAGUGGAAGGAUAACAAGCCGAUGUCAUCCAAGCCCAAUAAAUGCCUGAUGGGCUGCUCUAAUUAAACCACCACUUUA
This 269-nucleotide signal recognition particle RNA is filed under the name Nicotiana tabacum (common tobacco). RNAcentral's name for it is "Plant signal recognition particle RNA". It matches the Rfam family "Plant signal recognition particle RNA", at positions 43 to 305 of the family's 305-position model. The record is from Rfam by way of RNAcentral. Lineage: Eukaryota; Viridiplantae; Streptophyta; Magnoliopsida; Solanales; Solanaceae.